GGCCCCUAACCUGUGAGUGUUGCCCCUCCUGUUAAGGGAAAGAACAGAUGCGCGCAAGCCGCUCAAUUCUAUAUGAUCUUGGAAUAAAGGGAUUGAGAACAACUGCUUUGGCGGAGAUUCCUUAUUUCAUUUCAUUUAAUAUGAAAAAGCAGUGCCCAAGAGGGAUGUUGUUGAAUAGACGGAUUCUUGACCUCCGACUUCAGGGGAAGGACAAAGAAGAGCUU
This 224-nucleotide long non-coding RNA is filed under the name Jatropha curcas. RNAcentral's name for it is "long non-coding RNA (JCUR_LNC003024)". Lineage: Eukaryota; Viridiplantae; Streptophyta; Magnoliopsida; Malpighiales; Euphorbiaceae. The record is from RNAcentral.